Cinara cedri is the source of this 867-nucleotide non-coding RNA. Lineage: Eukaryota; Metazoa; Arthropoda; Insecta; Hemiptera; Aphididae. The record is from the annotation of a GenBank genome assembly.
CUCGGCUAUAUCUGAUAAUCAUACAACCAAUAAUAAUGUAUGGUUUACAUUUUUGGACUUUGCGAAGGACUGAGGAGGAUAGAUUACAUAUUUUUGAGGGAAAGAUAUUGCACAAAAUAUACGGACAUAUUUAUGAUCAAGAUAUUCAAAGAUGGCGGAAAAGGCACAACGUAGAACUGAUUGAGAUUCUAAUAGACCAAGUAUUGUAAGCAAGAUCAAACGGAAAAAGUUGGAAUGGACAGGCCACUUAUGUAGUAAGCAAGAUCAAUGGUUCAAAGAGUUUUCCAAGAAAACCCAAAGAGCAAAAAAUUUUUACUGGGUAAACCAGGGCUACGCUGGAAGAAGGAAUUGGUAAAUGAUUUCCUAAAUGCUAGAAGAAUAAAUUAUGGAGACAUGUAUUGGAAGAAGGUAGCGGAAAAUAGAGAAGAAUGGGGAAGGAUUUGUUCUACAGCAAGAUUAAAUAAUACUUUAUUGUCAAUUUUAUACUACGUCUGUCGUAAUCUAGUCGGCUACUUACAUAUUUUAUCCUAGAAAUCACGAGUUCAAUAUUUCGAAAAAUAUUAAAUAUUAUUUGUAUUUGUUUUUUUCCCUUUACUUAAGUAAACAGGUAAAAAACAAAUUUUGGGUGUACCUAUCAGGGAGGCUGUUAUUUCAAUUUCCGAGGAGUUUUCUCAAUAAAUGGAAAACCCAGGAAAAACGUAGGAAAAAGGGAGAAGUAGGCACAAUAUUAUUUGACUAUUAUAUGAGAUAUAUAUUGUUAACGAAGCCUCCCCAUCAACUGAACUCCGCUCAUAUACGUUUUUAGUAAGCAAUGGUUUAUUGUGACUUACAGAUAAAAAUUAAUUUCCCCUCUUUACCCUAUCGUCC